UUAAGCGACUAAGCGUACACGGUGGAUGCCCUGGCAGUCAGAGGCGAUGAAGGACGUGCUAAUCUGCGAAAAGCGUCGGUAAGGUGAUAUGAACCGUUAUAACCGGCGAUGUCCGAAUGGGGAAACCCAGUGCAAUUCGUUGCACUAUCGUUAACUGAAUACAUAGGUUAACGAGGCGAACCGGGGGAACUGAAACAUCUAAGUACCCCGAGGAAAAGAAAUCAACCGAGAUUCCCCCAGUAGCGGCGAGCGAACGGGGAGCAGCCCAGAGUCUGAAUCAGCUUGUGUGUUAGUGGAACGGUCUGGAAAGUCCGACGGUACAGGGUGAUAGUCCCGUACACCAAAAUGCACAGGUUGUGAACUCGAAGAGUAGGGCGGGACACGUGGUAUCCUGUCUGAAUAUGGGGGGACCAUCCUCCAAGGCUAAAUACUCCUGACUGACCGAUAGUGAACCAGUACCGUGAGGGAAAGGCGAAAAGAACCCCGGCGAGGGGAGUGAAAAAGAACCUGAAACCGUGUACGUACAAGCAGUGGGAGCACCUUCGGGUGUGACUGCGUACCUUUUGUAUAAUGGGUCAGCGACUUAUAUUCUGUAGCAAGGUUAACCGUAUAGGGGAGCCGCAGGGAAACCGAGUCUUAACUGGGCGUUAAGUUGCAGGGUAUAGACCCGAAACCCGGUGAUCUAGCCAUGGGCAGGUUGAAGGUUGGGUAACACUAACUGGAGGACCGAACCGACUAAUGUUGAAAAAUUAGCGGAUGACUUGUGGCUGGGGGUGAAAGGCCAAUCAAACCGGGAGAUAGCUGGUUCUCCCCGAAAGCUAUUUAGGUAGCGCCUCGUGAACUCAUCUUCGGGGGUAGAGCACUGUUUCGGCUAGGGGGUCAUCCCGACUUACCAACCCGAUGCAAACUACGAAUACCGAAGAAUGUUAUCACGGGAGACACACGGCGGGUGCUAACGUCCGUCGUGAAGAGGGAAACAACCCAGACCGCCAGCUAAGGUCCCAAAGUCAUGGUUAAGUGGGAAACGAUGUGGGAAGGCACAGACAGCCAGGAUGUUGGCUUAGAAGCAGCCAUCAUUUAAAGAAAGCGUAAUAGCUCACUGGUCGAGUCGGCCUGCGCGGAAGAUGUAACGGGGCUAAACCAUGCACCGAAGCUGCGGCAGCGACACUAUGUGUUGUUGGGUAGGGGAGCGUUCUGUAAGCCUGCGAAGGUGUGCUGUGAGGCAUGCUGGAGGUAUCAGAAGUGCGAAUGCUGACAUAAGUAACGAUAAAGCGGGUGAAAAGCCCGCUCGCCGGAAGACCAAGGGUUCCUGUCCAACGUUAAUCGGGGCAGGGUGAGUCGACCCCUAAGGCGAGGCCGAAAGGCGUAGUCGAUGGGAAACAGGUUAAUAUUCCUGUACUUGGUGUUACUGCGAAGGGGGGACGGAGAAGGCUAUGUUAGCCGGGCGACGGUUGUCCCGGUUUAAGCAUGUAGGCUGGUUGUCCAGGCAAAUCCGGAUAAUCAAGGCUGAGGUGUGAUGACGAGGCACUACGGUGCUGAAGUAACAAAUGCCCUGCUUCCAGGAAAAGCCUCUAAGCAUCAGGUAACAUCAAAUCGUACCCCAAACCGACACAGGUGGUCAGGUAGAGAAUACCAAGGCGCUUGAGAGAACUCGGGUGAAGGAACUAGGCAAAAUGGUGCCGUAACUUCGGGAGAAGGCACGCUGGUGUGUAGGUGAAGUCCCUGCGGAUGGAGCUGAGACCAGUCGAAGAUACCAGCUGGCUGCAACUGUUUAUUAAAAACACAGCACUGUGCAAACACGAAAGUGGACGUAUACGGUGUGACGCCUGCCCGGUGCCGGAAGGUUAAUUGAUGGGGUUAUCCGUAAGGAGAAGCUCUUGAUCGAAGCCCCGGUAAACGGCGGCCGUAACUAUAACGGUCCUAAGGUAGCGAAAUUCCUUGUCGGGUAAGUUCCGACCUGCACGAAUGGCGUAAUGAUGGCCAGGCUGUCUCCACCCGAGACUCAGUGAAAUUGAACUCGCUGUGAAGAUGCAGUGUACCCGCGGCAAGACGGAAAGACCCCGUGAACCUUUACUAUAGCUUGACACUGAACAUUGAGCCUUGAUGUGUAGGAUAGGUGGGAGGCUUUGAAGCGUGGACGCCAGUCUGCGUGGAGCCAACCUUGAAAUACCACCCUUUAAUGUUUGAUGUUCUAACGUUGGCCCCUUAUCGGGGUUGCGGACAGUGUCUGGUGGGUAGUUUGACUGGGCGGUCUCCUCCCAAAGCGUAACGGAGGAGCACGAAGGUUAGCUAAUCCUGGUCGGACAUCAGGAGGUUAGUGCAAUGGCAUAAGCUAGCUUGACUGCGAGCGUGACGGCGCGAGCAGGUGCGAAAGCAGGUCAUAGUGAUCCGGUGGUUCUGAAUGGAAGGGCCAUCGCUCAACGGAUAAAAGGUACUCCGGGGAUAACAGGCUGAUACCGCCCAAGAGUUCAUAUCGACGGCGGUGUUUGGCACCUCGAUGUCGGCUCAUCACAUCCUGGGGCUGAAGUAGGUCCCAAGGGUAUGGCUGUUCGCCAUUUAAAGUGGUACGCGAGCUGGGUUUAGAACGUCGUGAGACAGUUCGGUCCCUAUCUGCCGUGGGCGCUGGAGAAUUGAGGGGGGCUGCUCCUAGUACGAGAGGACCGGAGUGGACGCAUCACUGGUGUUCGGGUUGUCAUGCCAAUGGCACUGCCCGGUAGCUAAAUGCGGAAGAGAUAAGUGCUGAAAGCAUCUAAGCACGAAACUUGCCCCGAGAUGAGUUCUCCCUGAGACUUUAAGUCUCCUGAAGGAACGUUGAAGACGACGACGUUGAUAGGCCGGGUGUGUAAGCGCAGCGAUGCGUUGAGCUAACCGGUACUAAUGAACCGUGAGGCUUAACCUU
Molecule: ribosomal RNA, 2899 nt
Filed under: Klebsiella pneumoniae
Lineage: Bacteria; Pseudomonadati; Pseudomonadota; Gammaproteobacteria; Enterobacterales; Enterobacteriaceae
Description: 23S ribosomal RNA
Rfam family: Bacterial large subunit ribosomal RNA
Source: RNAcentral